Molecule: ribosomal RNA, 253 nt
Filed under: uncultured bacterium
Lineage: Bacteria
Description: partial 16S ribosomal RNA
Rfam family: Bacterial small subunit ribosomal RNA
Source: RNAcentral
UACGUAGGGUGCGAGCGUUAAUCGGAAUUACUGGGCGUAAAGCGUGCGCAGGCGGUGAUGUAAGACAGAUGUGAAAUCCCCGGGCUCAACCUGGGAACUGCAUUUGUGACUGCAUCGCUGGAGUACGGCAGAGGGGGAUGGAAUUCCGCGUGUAGCAGUGAAAUGCGUAGAUAUGCGGAGGAACACCGAUGGCGAAGGCAGUUCGCUGGGACGGUACUGACGCUGAGGCGCGAAAGCGUGGGGAGCAAACAGG